ACAAAGUUGGCAGAAUAAUGUAAAUAAUUUAGGUUUAUUAAAUAAGAUGAUUAUCUUACUUUGUA
RNAcentral lists this transfer RNA (65 nucleotides) under Stoloteuthis sp. GS-2021. RNAcentral's name for it is "tRNA-Leu". Lineage: Eukaryota; Metazoa; Mollusca; Cephalopoda; Sepiida; Sepiolidae. The record is from RNAcentral.